CCCCUAGAUGUUCUGGGCCGCACGCGCGCUACACUGAACAGUUCAACAAGUCUUAACCUUGGCCGAUAGGUCUGGGUAAUCUUUGAACGCUGUUCGUGAUUGGGAUAGACCUUUGCAAUAAUGGGUCUUCAACGAGGAAUUCCUAGUAAACGCAAGUCAUCAGCUUGCAUUGAUUACGUCCCUGCCCUUUGUACACACCGCCCGUCGCACCUACCGAUUGAAUGGUCCGGUGAAAUCUCGGGACGGCGGCUUGGUCGCUUGCGUCCGACUGCUGAAACUUGAUUAAACCAUAUCAUUUAGAGGAAGGUGAAGUCGUAACA
This 320-nucleotide ribosomal RNA is filed under the name uncultured eukaryote. Its description in RNAcentral is "partial 18S ribosomal RNA". It matches the Rfam family "Eukaryotic small subunit ribosomal RNA", at positions 1470 to 1796 of the family's 1831-position model. The record is from RNAcentral.